GUAACUGUACAGGCUGCUGGCAGGCACACACCUGGGAGCCCAUGUUGCUGGAGGAAGCCCAUCUCCAUUAUCACCUCCAGCUGUGGCCACACUGCAGCCCCAAACCAUCUGAUGCUAGCAGAGAACCUUGGGAAGGGAGGGCGUUAUGAAAAGGAAGGGAAGGAGGAAGAUGUGAAAAACAAAAUCCAAGUCUAAAAUUGUUGGUGUGGAGUCUACGGGCUGAAUUUUACAUAAGAUGCACCCGUUUCCAAGGAACUCACCAAAGGGGUGCCAAAAAAUGCUUUGGGAUCCCUCGUUAAGAGCACUUCAACCCCUGUUUGACUCAGCUCCACUUCACUGAAGAAAGCAGGAGAGACAUUCAGAGCUCUUUUGAGAUAAUGGAGAGGAAACCCUGCAGAUGCAGUGACAGAAAUGGCAAUUACAGCAACACCGGAGCAGAGAUGUCUCCAUCAAUUACAUCACGCUCAGGUGUUGGGAGCUGCAGAUUUGGAAAAGGUACCCUGGGAGAUGGAACCUCAGAAGGAAAAGCAGCUCCCAGAUGGGACCAUGAUGUUCAAACCCCUUUGCAAGGUGAAGGAUUCUGUGCUGGCAGAUGUGAGGAAGAAUCCUGGCCAGUGGGAUACAGAGCAAGUUGUGUACGGUGCGGAGCAAGAAAGGUUCAGCCACUGCAGACUCCCAUGGCAUGGAAGAUCGUUUCCCUGUCGAUCUCAGGAAGCUUCACCGCUCCAAGUGAGCUCAGCUUUCUCUGCAAGCACUGGUAAUGCUGGAGCCAGGGCUGGCUGGCUGUCACUACUCAAGCACUGCAGUUUGGUUAAAUAAUUCCCUGGAAGGACAAACUCAGGGCUGUAACUCAGCUCGACAAGGCGAGAUACCCAGCACCAGUGCAUAAUGGUCUUUUUGCAUAAUGAUGCUUGAUUAUUGUUUGAUUAUUUUAGACUUGAGCUGUGCUUUCCUCUUCCAUCUGCCUCUUAACUUGCUGCUUGUGAGGCUGGGUGAGAGUGCGCACCAGUGCUUCCUUCUUAGGAGGUACAAUUUUUGGAGCUGCUUCUACUUUUGCUCUAGGAGCUUUGAGCAAAAAAAAAAAAAAAAUAGAAU
This is a long non-coding RNA of Numida meleagris (helmeted guineafowl), 1095 nucleotides long. RefSeq lists it as uncharacterized. The transcript is spliced from 4 exons. Lineage: Eukaryota; Metazoa; Chordata; Aves; Galliformes; Numididae. The record is from RefSeq and is a predicted model, not a curated record.